ACGACAUUAUCACGUUGAAAUACUGAUUCUCGUACGAUCUCCGAAGUUAAGCAAUGUCAAGCUUGGUCAGUACCUAGACGGGUGACCGCUUGGGAAUACCAGGUGCUGUA
RNAcentral lists this ribosomal RNA (110 nucleotides) under Acanthosepion pharaonis. Lineage: Eukaryota; Metazoa; Mollusca; Cephalopoda; Sepiida; Sepiidae. The record is from RNAcentral.